RNAcentral lists this transfer RNA (63 nucleotides) under Flos anniella. RNAcentral describes it as "tRNA-Val". The record is from RNAcentral. Lineage: Eukaryota; Metazoa; Arthropoda; Insecta; Lepidoptera; Lycaenidae.
UAAAUUAAUUAAAUUUAAUUUCUUUUCAAUGUAAAUGAAAUACUUUAUAUAAGCUAUAAUUUA